AUUGCCUCAGUAACGGCGAGUGAAGCGGCAACAGCUCAAAUUUGAAAUCUGGCCCCAGGCCCGAGUUGUAAUUUGCAGAGGAUGCUUUUGGCGCGGUGCCUUCCGAGUUCCCUGGAACGGGACGCCAUAGAGGGUGAGAGCCCCGUCUGGUUGGACACCAAGCCUCUGUAAAGCUCCUUCGACGAGUCGAGUAGUUUGGGAAUGCUGCUCAAAAUGGGAGGUAUAUGUCUUCUAAAGCUAAAUACCGGCCAGAGACCGAUAGCGCACAAGUAGAGUGAUCGAAAGAUGAAAAGCACUUUGAAAAGAGAGUUAAAUAGCACGUGAAAUUGUUAAAAGGGAAGCGUUUAUGACCAGACUUGGGCCGGUUAAUCAUCCAGCGUUCUCGCUGGUGCACUUUGCCGGUCCAGGCCAGCAUCAGUUCGUCGCGGGGGAUAAAGGCGUCGGGAAUGUGGCUCCUCGGAGUGUUAUAGCCCUUCGCGCAAUACCCUGCGGUGGACUGAGGUUCGCGCUCUGCAAGGAUGCUGGCGUAAUGGUCAUCAACGACCCGUCUUGAAACACGGACCAAGGAGUCGUCUUCGUAUGCGAGUGUUCGGGUGUAAAACCCCUACGCGUAAUGAAAGUGAACGCAGGUGAGAGCUUCGGCGCAUCAUCGACCGAUCCUGAUGUUCUCGGAUGGAUUUGAGUAAGAGCAUACGGGGCCGGACCCGAAAGAAGGUGAACUUGGCCUGUAUAGGCUGAAGCCAGAGGAAACUCUGGUGGAGGCUCGCAGCGGUUCUGACGUGCAAAUCGAUCGUCAAAUAUGGGCAUGGGGGCGAAAGACUAAU
RNAcentral lists this ribosomal RNA (824 nucleotides) under Stachybotrys echinatus. RNAcentral's name for it is "eukaryotic LSU rRNA". It matches the Rfam family "Eukaryotic large subunit ribosomal RNA", at positions 74 to 935 of the family's 3401-position model. Lineage: Eukaryota; Fungi; Ascomycota; Sordariomycetes; Hypocreales; Stachybotryaceae. The record is from RNAcentral.